UACGUAGGGUGCGAGCGUUGUCCGGAAUUAUUGGGCGUAAAGAGCUUGUAGGCGGUUUGUCGCGUCUGCCGUGAAAAUCCGAGGCUCAACCUCGGACUUGCGGUGGGUACGGGCAGACUAGAGUGUGGUAGGGGAGACUGGAAUUCCUGGUGUAGCGGUGAAAUGCGCAGAUAUCAGGAGGAACACCGAUGGCGAAGGCAGGUCUCUGGGCCACUACUGACGCUGAGGAGCGAAGGCGUGGGGAGCGAACAGG
RNAcentral lists this ribosomal RNA (253 nucleotides) under uncultured bacterium. Its description in RNAcentral is "partial 16S ribosomal RNA". It matches the Rfam family "Bacterial small subunit ribosomal RNA", at positions 524 to 776 of the family's 1533-position model. The record is from RNAcentral.